UAAACUCUGUUGGGGGAAAAGGCAGAAAGGCGUGAGUCUGUCGCUCUCUGGGCAAUGCUUGGAGACAACUAUACGAAACCAGUGCUGAUUUUUGACUUAUAUAACUAUUUUCUUGGAAUUCGCCUACUUGGUCGUGUUGGGAAGCAACAACACUCUUAGCGACCCGCUAUUUCCUCAGUGAAAAGUGUGGGCUGCUGUUAGCUAGCAGAGAGGACUGCAGGGCUGAGUGCCAACACUGAGCCUCUCCCAAAAAGGAAGCUCCAAGAGGUUUCUUGGCAAAAGUCAGUCUGGCCCUUCAAGGGAUUGGAUCAUUACCAGAGGAGAGCGUGGCCUCCCUGCUGGGCCAGAUGCUUUAUAUUCAGGGGACCUGAAAUCUGGAACAUUCAAAAUCAAUUCUCUCUGGCAACUGGAAUGUGCAAGAGGAACAGAGUUGCCAGGACAACACAUAAAACAGGAUUUGGGGUGGGUUUGUUCUUCCUUAUGAAAAAAAGAAAAAAAAAUAAAAGAGCCUUGAAUUCUGAAGAGAUGAAAAUUCUUUGCUGUCACAGUUUCCAGGUGUUACUGGACUUGCUUAUUCGCAUGUGCUUUAUUUUUAGCUUAAAAAUAAGUUUUAGUUUGCCAGAGGGAAGCAAUUCAGAAUUUCACGGAAUAACAUUCAACAGAGCUGGGAUAGUGUCACAGACAUUUGCAAAGUCAUCAUGACUUUGAAUUAUAUCCCAGAUUUAUGCAUCCUCAUUCAUCAUUUGGUUUGUAGUACAGAGAUGAGGAAAAAUAUCAGUGUCUUAUUUGUGCUUAUUAUCUAUUGUCCCCGAAAUACAAACCCUCACAGUGGUCCAUGUUUUUCCAAAUAAUGAUCUUUGAAAAGGAAUUGUGUUCAUGACAUGAAAAUAUUUCCUUCCUUUGAAAGUUGUGGUUCUCAAGGCAAGAAAUAGAUUUGAAGGCCUUACCUGUGCACAGCUCAUUUGCUGGAGCCUGGUCUGGCAAAGCACUUGAAAACCCUGGGACUGAUUGAAUACUGUGUAGGACUGUAUGAAAGCUAAUGGUCACCUGGGAGUGCUUUUCACCUCACUGGAUCAAAUUGUCAUUAUAUAAUACUCCCUAAUAAACUAUUUAUUAAAUAAACUUCCAAAAAAUGCACUCAUAGCUAAUACAAGGCACAUGCCCUGGUGAUUCUGUUACUUUCAGACUAAAUACUAACCAAAACAAUAAAUAUUUACAGUGAAA
Molecule: non-coding RNA, 1224 nt
Organism: Taeniopygia guttata (zebra finch)
Lineage: Eukaryota; Metazoa; Chordata; Aves; Passeriformes; Estrildidae
Source: RefSeq, a predicted model, not a curated record